Molecule: ribosomal RNA, 496 nt
Filed under: uncultured bacterium
Lineage: Bacteria
Description: partial 16S ribosomal RNA
Rfam family: Bacterial small subunit ribosomal RNA
Source: RNAcentral
GAUGAACGCUGGCGGCGUGCCUAAUACAUGCAAGUCGAGCGAACAGACGAGGAGCUUGCUCCUCUGACGUUAGCGGCGGACGGGUGAGUAACACGUGGAUAACCUACCUAUAAGACUGGGAUAACUUCGGGAAACCGGAGCUAAUACCGGAUAAUAUAUUGAACCGCAUGGUUCAAUAGUGAAAGACGGUUUUGCUGUCACUUAUAGAUGGAUCCGCGCCGCAUUAGCUAGUUGGUAAGGUAACGGCUUACCAAGGCGACGAUGCGUAGCCGACCUGAGAGGGUGAUCGGCCACACUGGAACUGAGACACGGUCCAGACUCCUACGGGAGGCAGCAGUAGGGAAUCUGCCGCAAUGGGCGAAAGCCUGACGGAGCAACGCCGCGUGAGUGAUGAAGGUCUUCGGAUCGUAAAACGCUGUUAUUAGGGAAGAACAAAUGUGUAAGUAACUAUGCGCGUCUGGACGGUACCUAAUCAGAAAGCCACGGCUAACUACGU